AAUAUUGCACAAUGGGCGCAAGCCUGAUGCAGCCAUGCCGCGUGUAUGAAGAAGGCCUUCGGGUUGUAAAGUACUUUCAGCAGUGAGGAAGGUGGGUAUGUUAAUAGCAUAUUCAUUUGACGUUAGCUGCAGAAGAAGCACCGGCUAACUCCGUGCCAGCAGCCGCGGUAAUACGGAGGGUGCGAGCGUUAAUCGGAAUUACUGGGCGUAAAGCGCAUGCAGGUGGUUUGUUAAGUCAGAUGUGAAAGCCCGGGGCUCAACCUCGGAAUUGCAUUUGAAACUGGCAAACUAGAGUACUGUAGAGGGGGGUAGAAUUUCAGGUGUAGCGGUGAAAUGCGUAGAGAUCUGAAGGAAUACCGGUGGCGAAGGCGGCCCCCUGGACAGAUACUGACACUCAGAUGCGAAAGCGUGGGGAGCAAACAGGAUUAGAUACCCUGGUAG
Molecule: ribosomal RNA, 441 nt
Filed under: uncultured bacterium
Lineage: Bacteria
Description: bacterial SSU rRNA
Rfam family: Bacterial small subunit ribosomal RNA
Source: RNAcentral